Molecule: non-coding RNA, 119 nt
Filed under: Tatumella ptyseos ATCC 33301
Lineage: Bacteria; Pseudomonadati; Pseudomonadota; Gammaproteobacteria; Enterobacterales; Erwiniaceae
Source: RNAcentral
AUUUUCAGACGUAGGGUACAGAGGUAAGAUGUUCUAUCUUUCAGACCUUUUACUUCACGUAAUCGGAUUUGGCUGAAUAUUAGCCGCCCCGGUCAUUUCGGUGAUCGGGGCGUUUUUUA